UCCCUGUGUCUGUUAGACUGGCCUUGGCAGCAAAGAAAGACCAUAUGGUGCCCAUCCAUAUGGAUAGGCUGGCUGGAUUUUAGAAUCUUAUUCCCUACUGAUGUUCCUGUUGUGUGAACAGAAUAACUUCUAUUUAAGAGUAAAACAUGUGGGAUUCCAGCCUUGCAUAUUGUAUCAGUUAGAAAAUGUGCUCAAUUGUGAGGAGCAGAGACCUGAAAACAGGGCUUAAACACACUAGAUGUGGUACAGGGGCUCUGCAACCUCAUUGUAGACUUUCCAUCCCUCUUCUCUGCCAUCUUUGAGUUGUGACUUCUUUCCUCAAGGCUGCCUCAUACAUAUAAAGUGGCUACUAGAACUCCAAACGGCAUUUUCUCAUUCCUAGUAGGAAGAAGGGAAAACACAAGGAACAAAAGGAGCAUGCCAGCUGAGUCAUUGCCUAUUUUUAAGGAGCAUUACCAGAAGACACACCCAACAACUUAUGUUUGCAUCUCAUUGGCUAGGAUUUAGUCUUAUGCACCUCUCAUCUUCUAGGAAUCCUGGGAAAUCUAGUAUAUUUUAGGAAAAGAAGAUUUGGUGUCUACACUUCUAGUACUCCAGUUCAGCUUUCGCUGACCGUGACUCUAUUUGGCUAACUGCACAGAUAUUGUUAUAUACCCAUUCUGCUGAUGAAGAAACCAAGACUCAGAGUUUACUUAACCAAGAUCACAAUCAUACAUUUUGGACUAAAUGUCUUUGGAGAAGCCGCAUUGAAGAUAUUGCAACUGGAAGACCCUUCUGAAAUAGAAAAUCUCUAUUUAUCCUAAGAUUUGCUGAUGGCUCACCAGUUAUCAGCUACUCUGCUAAAUGAAUAGAAUGAACCAGACACAGUCUUCACGCUGUGGCAGCUCUCAGUCUAAUGUAAGGGAGGCAAGCAAGUGAACCAGACAGAACAAUACUGUGUGAUGAGCAUCAAACAUGUUGAAAGAACAUGACAGAAGCAUAUGCUCAUUCAAAGGAGGAGCCGGAGCUUCUAGUAAAAGGUGAUAUCUAAACUGAAACUGUAAGCACAUCACGGAACAAAGAGGGGGAAGGAGGUUCUAGGCAAAGGGAAAAGCAUACUGCCAGCGUCAAGACAUAAGAGGAAAACCAUGUAUUGGGAAACUGCAAACAGUUCAGUGAGGGAGGAGUCUAGAGUGCUCUGUAGGCAGGGACGGGACUUUGGAGUGCUUAGGGUACCAUGCUAACUCAGUCUUUACAGGCAACUUUGGAAUACCAAUAAUGGUGGUACUUCUGUGUGCUUGUCCAUUGCCAAAUGUUCGGACUUAUCCAAGCUCUCAUGAUGAAGCUAUUACU
Gorilla gorilla gorilla (western lowland gorilla) is the source of this 1332-nucleotide long non-coding RNA. RefSeq lists it as uncharacterized. Lineage: Eukaryota; Metazoa; Chordata; Mammalia; Primates; Hominidae. The record is from RefSeq and is a predicted model, not a curated record. The transcript is spliced from 5 exons.